AGCAGCCGCGGUAAUUCCAGCUCCAAUAGCGUAUAUUAAAGUUGUUGCAGUUAAAAAGCUCGUAGUUGAAUUUCGGGGCCAGUAGGUUGGUCGUGCCACUGGUAUGCACUGGUCUCACUGGUCCCUCCUUCUUGUAGAACCGUGAUGGCAUUAAUUUGUUGUUGCGGGGAAACAGGACUGUUACUUUGAAAAAAUUAGAGUGCUUAAAGCAGGCUCGCGCUUGAAUACAUUAGCAUGGAAUAACGGAAUAGGACGAUCGAACUUAUUUUGUUGGUUUCUAGGAUCGACGUAAUGAUUAAUAGGGAUAGUUGGGGGCAUUAGUAUUCAAUUGUCAGAGGUGAAAUUCUUGGAUUUAUUGAAGACUAACUACUGCGAAAGCAUUUGCCAAGGAUGUUUUCAUUAAUCAAGAACGAAAGUUAGGGGAUCGAAGACGAUCAGAUACCGUCGUAGUCUUAACCAUAAACUAUGCCGACUAGGGAUCGGAUGAAGUUAAUUUUUUAAAUGACUCAUU
This 511-nucleotide ribosomal RNA is filed under the name uncultured Glomus. RNAcentral describes it as "SSU rRNA". It matches the Rfam family "Eukaryotic small subunit ribosomal RNA", at positions 569 to 1080 of the family's 1831-position model. The record is from RNAcentral. Lineage: Eukaryota; Fungi; Glomeromycota; Glomeromycetes; Glomerales; Glomeraceae.